This 492-nucleotide ribosomal RNA is filed under the name uncultured bacterium. RNAcentral describes it as "partial 16S ribosomal RNA". It matches the Rfam family "Bacterial small subunit ribosomal RNA", at positions 30 to 507 of the family's 1533-position model. The record is from RNAcentral.
AGUGAACGCUGGCGGCAGGCCUAACACAUGCAAGUCGAACGGCAGCACAGUAAGAGCUUGCUCUUACGGGUGGCGAGUGGUGGACGGGUGAGGAAUAAACCGGCAUCUACUUUUUCGUGGGGGCUAAAGUAGGGAAAUAUACGCUAAUACCGCAUACGAACUCAGGGUGAAAGCCGGGGAACUUCGGACCUCGCGCGAUUGCAUGCGCCGAUGUCGGUUUUGAUGGUUGGAGGGGAAAAGGCCCACUAAGGCGACGAUCCGAAGCUGGUCUGGGAGGAGGAUCGGCCACACGGGAAGGGGAACGCGCACCAUGCGCCUACGGAAGGCAGCAGUGGGGAAUAUGGGACAAUGGGCGCAAGCCUGAUCCAACCGGACCGCGUGGGUGAAAAAGGCCUUGGGGGUGUAAAGCCCGUUUGUGGGGAAAGAAAAGCAGCAGGUAAGUACCCCGCUGUUGUGACGGUACCCAAAGAAUAAGCACCGGCUAACUUCGUG